GACGAACGCUGGCGGCGUGCUUAACACAUGCAAGUCGAACGGAAAGGCCCUGCUUUUGUGGGGUGCUCGAGUGGCGAACGGGUGAGUAACACGUGAGUAACCUGCCCUUGACUUUGGGAUAACUUCAGGAAACUGGGGCUAAUACCGGAUAGGAGCUCCAGCUGCAUGGUGGGGGUUGGAAAGUUUCGGCGGUUGGGGUUGGACUCGCGGCUUAUCAGCUUGUUGGUGGGGUAGUGGCUUACCAAGGCUUUGACGGGUAGCCGGCCUGAGAGGGUGACCGGCCACAUUGGGACUGAGAUACGGCCCAGACUCCUACGGGGGGCAACAGUGGGGAAUAUUGCACAAUGGGCGGAAGCCUGAUGCAGCAACGCCGCGUGCGGGAUGACGGCCUUCGGGUUGUAAACCGCUUUCGCCUGUGACGAAGCGUGAGUGACGGUAAUGGGUAAAGAAGCACCGGCUAACUACGUG
Molecule: ribosomal RNA, 468 nt
Filed under: uncultured bacterium
Lineage: Bacteria
Description: partial 16S ribosomal RNA
Rfam family: Bacterial small subunit ribosomal RNA
Source: RNAcentral